UAAUUAGACAUAAACGUCGGGGACUUGGUUUUUUUACACAAACAUGACACAGAUGUGAUUGUGUGUGUGUGUGUGAGUGUGUGUGUGUGCAUGUGUAGUGUAUGUGUGUCGGUGUGUGUGUGUGUGUGUAUUGUUGCCGCUUGCUGCUUUUGAUCAAGUCAAAGCUAAGUGCAUGCAAAAACCGUAGCAUACAUUUGAGCGCUGUUUAAAAUUAUACAAAAAAUGAUGAAAAUUUCGUGACGAAAAUCCAAAAGCAGCAAGAGUUCAUUUAAAAAGCUACAUUAAGAAAAUAUAUUUAUAAUAUAAAUAUAUAUAUGACGCAUAUAAAUAGGACAUUUAAAAGAUAUAUAUAAAAAGAGAAUAUUUAACAACUGGCUUGUUUUACAACAUUGAAACACAUUUACAAAAUGCAAAAUGAAAA
Molecule: long non-coding RNA, 421 nt
Organism: Drosophila navojoa
Lineage: Eukaryota; Metazoa; Arthropoda; Insecta; Diptera; Drosophilidae
Source: RefSeq, a predicted model, not a curated record